UCAUAAUAUUAUGUUUCAAAUCUUUGAGAAGAGCAACCGCAGAGUUUCAUGCUGGUCCUUCUCGGUAGGAAAGACAUAACGAACCAGUAGUGAAUGCAUUU
Long non-coding RNA from Maniola jurtina (meadow brown), 101 nucleotides. RefSeq lists it as uncharacterized. NCBI's taxonomy places the organism in Eukaryota, Metazoa, Arthropoda, Insecta, Lepidoptera, Nymphalidae. The record is from RefSeq and is a predicted model, not a curated record. The transcript has 3 exons.